GUAGGUGGCAAGCGUUGUCCGGAGUUUACUGGGGGGCGUAAAGGGGCGUGUAGGGCGGGUCCGCUAAGUCCGGGUGUGAAAUCUCCCGGCUCAACUGGGAGGGGUCAUCGGAUACUGGCGGGCUAGAGGAGGGCAGAGGAAGGUGGAAUUCCCGGUGUAGCGGUGAUAUGCGUAGAUAUCGGGAGGAACACCAGUGGCGAAGGCGGCCUUCUGGGCCCAUCCUGACGCUGAGGCGCGAAAGCGUGGGGAGCAAACCGGAUUAGAUACCCGGGUAGUCCACGCCCUAAACGUUGGACACUAGGUGUGGGGGGUGUCGACCCCCUCUGUGCCGUAGCUAACGCAUUAAGUGUCCCGCCUGGGGAGUACGGCCGCAAGGCUA
RNAcentral lists this ribosomal RNA (379 nucleotides) under uncultured organism. RNAcentral's name for it is "partial 16S ribosomal RNA". It matches the Rfam family "Bacterial small subunit ribosomal RNA", at positions 527 to 896 of the family's 1533-position model. The record is from RNAcentral.